Molecule: ribosomal RNA, 2902 nt
Filed under: Escherichia coli 4-203-08_S4_C2
Lineage: Bacteria; Pseudomonadati; Pseudomonadota; Gammaproteobacteria; Enterobacterales; Enterobacteriaceae
Description: bacterial LSU rRNA
Rfam family: Bacterial large subunit ribosomal RNA
Source: RNAcentral
UUAAGCGACUAAGCGUACACGGUGGAUGCCCUGGCAGUCAGAGGCGAUGAAGGACGUGCUAAUCUGCGAUAAGCGUCGGUAAGGUGAUAUGAACCGUUAUAACCGGCGAUUUCCGAAUGGGGAAACCCAGUGUGUUUCGACACACUAUCAUUAACUGAAUCCAUAGGUUAAUGAGGCGAACCGGGGGAACUGAAACAUCUAAGUACCCCGAGGAAAAGAAAUCAACCGAGAUUCCCCCAGUAGCGGCGAGCGAACGGGGAGCAGCCCAGAGCCUGAAUCAGUGUGUGUGUUAGUGGAAGCGUCUGGAAAGGCGCGCGAUACAGGGUGACAGCCCCGUACACAAAAAUGCACAUGCUGUGAGCUCGAUGAGUAGGGCGGGACACGUGGUAUCCUGUCUGAAUAUGGGGGGACCAUCCUCCAAGGCUAAAUACUCCUGACUGACCGAUAGUGAACCAGUACCGUGAGGGAAAGGCGAAAAGAACCCCGGCGAGGGGAGUGAAAAAGAACCUGAAACCGUGUACGUACAAGCAGUGGGAGCACGCUUAGGCGUGUGACUGCGUACCUUUUGUAUAAUGGGUCAGCGACUUAUAUUCUGUAGCAAGGUUAACCGAAUAGGGGAGCCGAAGGGAAACCGAGUCUUAACUGGGCGUUAAGUUGCAGGGUAUAGACCCGAAACCCGGUGAUCUAGCCAUGGGCAGGUUGAAGGUUGGGUAACACUAACUGGAGGACCGAACCGACUAAUGUUGAAAAAUUAGCGGAUGACUUGUGGCUGGGGGUGAAAGGCCAAUCAAACCGGGAGAUAGCUGGUUCUCCCCGAAAGCUAUUUAGGUAGCGCCUCGUGAAUUCAUCUCCGGGGGUAGAGCACUGUUUCGGCAAGGGGGUCAUCCCGACUUACCAACCCGAUGCAAACUGCGAAUACCGGAGAAUGUUAUCACGGGAGACACACGGCGGGUGCUAACGUCCGUCGUGAAGAGGGAAACAACCCAGACCGCCAGCUAAGGUCCCAAAGUCAUGGUUAAGUGGGAAACGAUGUGGGAAGGCCCAGACAGCCAGGAUGUUGGCUUAGAAGCAGCCAUCAUUUAAAGAAAGCGUAAUAGCUCACUGGUCGAGUCGGCCUGCGCGGAAGAUGUAACGGGGCUAAACCAUGCACCGAAGCUGCGGCAGCGACGCUGAUGCGUUGUUGGGUAGGGGAGCGUUCUGUAAGCCUGCGAAGGUGUGCUGUGAGGCAUGCUGGAGGUAUCAGAAGUGCGAAUGCUGACAUAAGUAACGAUAAAGCGGGUGAAAAGCCCGCUCGCCGGAAGACCAAGGGUUCCUGUCCAACGUUAAUCGGGGCAGGGUGAGUCGACCCCUAAGGCGAGGCCGAAAGGCGUAGUCGAUGGGAAACAGGUUAAUAUUCCUGUACUUGGUGUUACUGCGAAGGGGGGACGGAGAAGGCUAUGUUGGCCGGGCGACGGUUGUCCCGGUUUAAGCGUGUAGGCUGGUUUUCCAGGCAAAUCCGGAAAAUCAAGGCUGAGGCGUGAUGACGAGGCACUACGGUGCUGAAGCAACAAAUGCCCUGCUUCCAGGAAAAGCCUCUAAGCAUCAGGUAACAUCAAAUCGUACCCCAAACCGACACAGGUGGUCAGGUAGAGAAUACCAAGGCGCUUGAGAGAACUCGGGUGAAGGAACUAGGCAAAAUGGUGCCGUAACUUCGGGAGAAGGCACGCUGAUAUGUAGGUGAAGUCCCUCGCGGAUGGAGCUGAAAUCAGUCGAAGAUACCAGCUGGCUGCAACUGUUUAUUAAAAACACAGCACUGUGCAAACACGAAAGUGGACGUAUACGGUGUGACGCCUGCCCGGUGCCGGAAGGUUAAUUGAUGGGGUUAGCGCAAGCGAAGCUCUUGAUCGAAGCCCCGGUAAACGGCGGCCGUAACUAUAACGGUCCUAAGGUAGCGAAAUUCCUUGUCGGGUAAGUUCCGACCUGCACGAAUGGCGUAAUGAUGGCCAGGCUGUCUCCACCCGAGACUCAGUGAAAUUGAACUCGCUGUGAAGAUGCAGUGUACCCGCGGCAAGACGGAAAGACCCCGUGAACCUUUACUAUAGCUUGACACUGAACAUUGAGCCUUGAUGUGUAGGAUAGGUGGGAGGCUUAGAAGUGUGGACGCCAGUCUGCAUGGAGCCGACCUUGAAAUACCACCCUUUAAUGUUUGAUGUUCUAACGUUGACCCGUAAUCCGGGUUGCGGACAGUGUCUGGUGGGUAGUUUGACUGGGGCGGUCUCCUCCUAAAGAGUAACGGAGGAGCACGAAGGUUGGCUAAUCCUGGUCGGACAUCAGGAGGUUAGUGCAAUGGCAUAAGCCAGCUUGACUGCGAGCGUGACGGCGCGAGCAGGUGCGAAAGCAGGUCAUAGUGAUCCGGUGGUUCUGAAUGGAAGGGCCAUCGCUCAACGGAUAAAAGGUACUCCGGGGAUAACAGGCUGAUACCGCCCAAGAGUUCAUAUCGACGGCGGUGUUUGGCACCUCGAUGUCGGCUCAUCACAUCCUGGGGCUGAAGUAGGUCCCAAGGGUAUGGCUGUUCGCCAUUUAAAGUGGUACGCGAGCUGGGUUUAGAACGUCGUGAGACAGUUCGGUCCCUAUCUGCCGUGGGCGCUGGAGAACUGAGGGGGGCUGCUCCUAGUACGAGAGGACCGGAGUGGACGCAUCACUGGUGUUCGGGUUGUCAUGCCAAUGGCACUGCCCGGUAGCUAAAUGCGGAAGAGAUAAGUGCUGAAAGCAUCUAAGCACGAAACUUGCCCCGAGAUGAGUUCUCCCUGACUCCUUGAGAGUCCUGAAGGAACGUUGAAGACGACGACGUUGAUAGGCCGGGUGUGUAAGCGCAGCGAUGCGUUGAGCUAACCGGUACUAAUGAACCGUGAGGCUUAACCUU